CCUACGGGUGGCAGCAGUGGGGAAUAUUGCACAAUGGGGGAAACCCUGAUGCAGCGACGCCGCGUGAGUGAAGAAGUAUUUCGGUAUGGAAAGCCCUAGCAGCAGGGAAGAAAAUGACGGUACCUUAUUAAGAAGCCCCGGCUAACUACGUGCCAGCAGCCGCGGUAAUUCGGUGGGGGCAAGCGUUAGUCGGGUUUACUGGGUGUAAAGGGAGCGUAGGCGGGAGAACAAGUUUGGGGGGAAAUGCUAGGGCUUAACCCCGGAACUGCAUUGGAAACUGUGGAGCUUGAGUGCAGGAGAGGUAAGUGGAAUGCCUAGUGUAGCGGUGAAAUGCGUAGAGAUUAGGAGGAACACCAGUGGCGAAGGCGGCUUGCUGGACUGUAACUGACGUUGAGGCUCGAAAGCGUGGGGAGCAAACAGGAUUAGAUACCCCUGUAGUA
RNAcentral lists this ribosomal RNA (440 nucleotides) under uncultured bacterium. RNAcentral describes it as "partial 16S ribosomal RNA". It matches the Rfam family "Bacterial small subunit ribosomal RNA", at positions 338 to 795 of the family's 1533-position model. The record is from RNAcentral.